GUCGGACCCGGACGUGAAGUCGACGAGUGGUCGGUGGGCUGGUUUUGGUAAGCAGAACGGGCGAUUCGGGAUGAACCGGAAGCGGGGAGAAGGGCCCGAGAUUGCGUCGACGCGGAUCCCGAAAAGGGCGUCGAUCCGUCGCGACAGGCGGGACGGUGGUCAUGGAAGUCGAAAUCCGCUAAGAAGCGUGUAAAAACGUACCCGCCCAACGGAUCGGCCCCGAAAAUUGAUGGCGCUCGAACGCAACCCUCGAACCCCGCCGACGGAGGCUAGGGGAGGCCCCGUCGAGUAGGCGGACGCGCGGGUCGCUUCGACGCUCUCGCGCGAGCGGGGGCGGAGCGGCCCGUGGUGCAGAUCUUGGUGGUAGUAGCGAUCACCCAGGCGAGAACCCUGAGGGCCGAAGUGGAGAAGGGUUUCUCGAGAACGGCACUCGCUCGAGAGUUAGUCGAUCCUAAGCUGCCGGCGGCAGCCACGAAACGGUCGAUCGGGCGCGAGCCCGGCAGCCACGACCGGGCAGCGAAAGGGAAUUGGGAACCUCCUUCCCAAACCCGGAACCGGAACGAGGGCGGCG
This 571-nucleotide ribosomal RNA is filed under the name uncultured eukaryote. Its description in RNAcentral is "eukaryotic LSU rRNA". It matches the Rfam family "Eukaryotic large subunit ribosomal RNA", at positions 1094 to 1646 of the family's 3401-position model. The record is from RNAcentral.